AAUACUUUACAGAUGACUGUUCGGACUGAGUGUUUUUUUAAAUCAGUGGGAGUUGUAUUUGUCAUGGAGGGCAGAUAUAAUUUUUUUCCGUGCAACACCACAAAGAUUCGAGGUUUUAAAAUUGUGUACAUUUCUGGGUUUUAAUAUUUUCCAUCUCAACAAAAUUUUUUUAUUGAAAAAGAAGCAUAGUUUCGUUAUUAUAGGAUAGAUAUUGGUGACUUAAAGGUGAAGAAAGAUAGGCAGAAAUUAAGGAGGAAUCCUGAAAAACAAAUGACGAAUACACGGUAUAGUGAAUAUAGAAAUUAUUACUACGACUGUAGGAACAUG
This 327-nucleotide long non-coding RNA is filed under the name Bos taurus (domestic cattle). RNAcentral describes it as "long non-coding RNA NONBTAT013981". Lineage: Eukaryota; Metazoa; Chordata; Mammalia; Artiodactyla; Bovidae. The record is from RNAcentral.